UACGAGGGGGGCGAGCGUUGUUCGGAAUUAUUGGGCGUAAAGGGUGCGUAGGCGGUUUGGUAAGUCUGAUGUGAAAUCUAUGGGCUCAACUCAUAGUCUGCAUCGGAAACUGCCGGGCUUGAGUGUGGGAGAGGUGAGUGGAAUUCCUGGUGUAGCGGUGAAAUGCGUAGAUAUCAGGAGGAACACCUGUGGCGAAAGCGGCUCACUGGACCAUAACUGACGCUGAUGCACGAAAGCUAGGGGAGCGAACAGG
RNAcentral lists this ribosomal RNA (253 nucleotides) under uncultured bacterium. RNAcentral describes it as "partial 16S ribosomal RNA". It matches the Rfam family "Bacterial small subunit ribosomal RNA", at positions 524 to 776 of the family's 1533-position model. The record is from RNAcentral.